This 461-nucleotide ribosomal RNA is filed under the name uncultured bacterium. RNAcentral describes it as "partial 16S ribosomal RNA". It matches the Rfam family "Bacterial small subunit ribosomal RNA", at positions 338 to 795 of the family's 1533-position model. The record is from RNAcentral.
CCUACGGGUGACAGCAGUGAGGAAUAUUGGUCAAUGGGCGGAAGCCUGAACCAGCCAAGUCGCGUGAGGGAUUAAGGCCCUGCGGGUCGUAAACCUCUUUUGCCGGGGAGCAGAGGUCCGGACGUGUCCGGGCCGGGAGAGUACCCGGAGAAAAAGCAUCGGCUAACUCCGUGCCAGCAGCCGCGGUAAUACGUAGGGGGCAAGCGUUAUCCGGAUUUACUGGGUGUAAAGGGAGCGUAGACGGUGCGCCAAGUCUGGAGUGAAAUGCCGCAGCUUAACUGCGGAACUGCUUUGGAAACUGGCGAACUAGAGUGCGGGAGGGGUAAGCGGAAUUCCUAGUGUAGCGGUGAAAUGCGUAGAUAUUAGGAGGAACACCGGUGGCGAAGGCGGCUUACUGGACCGUAACUGACGUUGAGGCUCGAAAGCGUGGGGAGCAAACAGGAUUAGAUACCCCUGUAGUC